UCGUGAGCUUUUUAAUUUAACUUUAUAUUCCCUAAUUUUGUAUGUUGGUGUUGUCAUUACCUCUAAAAGACUCCUUAAAUAUAACACCAAACCUUUGGCAGCACUUGGUAAAGCUCGUCACUUAUAAGUAAUGUGCUCUUGAAUUAUCAUUGAUUUAAGUUUCUGUUUGCCGAUGGCAUUUAGUGAAUAGACCUGGUUGCAAAGGAUCCUAUUUUAACAUCAGUUUCGAUCAAAACAUUAGGUAUCAUGGCAGAGAGACAAAAAAUACUUGUUGCUGGGAAUGUCAAUGGCAACUUCAAAACCCUUUUCAAUAGAAUAAACUCAAUUGUUAAGAAAAAUGGUCCUUUUGAU
Molecule: non-coding RNA, 351 nt
Organism: Bemisia tabaci
Lineage: Eukaryota; Metazoa; Arthropoda; Insecta; Hemiptera; Aleyrodidae
Source: RefSeq, a predicted model, not a curated record